UAUAGACAGGACAGCAGUUGCUUUUUGUAACUUUGUGGAUAAUUACUUAUACGUAGCAUCUUUUGUAUCUAUACCUCGAGAAUAUCAGUAUUUUAAUUCGGGUGCAAAUUUUAAUAGUACAUGCACCAACUAGACUCCCAUUUUAUGGGGAAUGUGUUCAAGUAGCAGACUUCUGCCCAUAUUACCUUGACCUUUUAAGGCAAGCUCCUCGGGGUAACUGUAGGAAAGGGAUUCCCCUAACUGCUAAUAAUGAAGCAGCAGAGACAUAUGGACCUAGGUCACGUUGUGUGGAUCACUCUGGGAAGUGGCAGAUCACUAAUGG
Long non-coding RNA from Amphimedon queenslandica, 322 nucleotides. RefSeq lists it as uncharacterized. The record is from RefSeq and is a predicted model, not a curated record. The transcript is spliced from 4 exons. NCBI's taxonomy places the organism in Eukaryota, Metazoa, Porifera, Demospongiae, Haplosclerida, Niphatidae.